This 1286-nucleotide ribosomal RNA is filed under the name Anastatus formosanus. RNAcentral's name for it is "16S ribosomal RNA". The record is from RNAcentral. Lineage: Eukaryota; Metazoa; Arthropoda; Insecta; Hymenoptera; Eupelmidae.
AAAAAGAAAAGGAAUUUUAAUUUUUUUUAUUUAAAAAAAUAUUUUUAUUUUUAAAAUUUAGUAUUAUUUAAAAUAAUUUUUUUUAUUUAUAAUUUAAGUAUUGAAAAAGAAAAAAAUAAUUAAUUUUUAAAAAUAUUAAUUUUUUUUACCUUUUGUAUCAGGGUUUAUUAAAUUAAAUUAAUUUAUAUAUUAUUUUUCUCGAAAUAAAUGGAUUUAAAUUUUAAUAUUUUUUAAUAUUAAAUUAUUAUAAAAAAUUAAAAUUUAGAAAUUAAAUGUUUUUCGAAAUUUAUAUAUCUAGUUAUUUUAUAAAUUUUUUUAAUAAAGAAAAUAAUUUUUUUUUGUAAUUUAAUUUUUAAAUUUAAAAAAUUUUAUUUUUAAUUUUUUUGGGGAUAAACUUAAAAUUAAUUUUAAUAUUUUUUUUUAAAAAAAAAAUAAUUUUUUAGAAAUAAAAAUUUUUUUAGUUAAUUAAUUUUUAAUAAUUAAGUUUGAUCAAUAAAGAUAAAAUUUUUUAAAAAAUUUAUUUAAUUAUAAAAUUAAUAUUUUUAAUUAUUUUAAAUAUUUAAUAAUGAUAAAAUUAGUAAAAUUAAAUUAAUUUAAUUUAGAAUUUUUAAAGAUUAAAUUAAAGAAUUUGGCAAUAAAUUUAUAUUUACCUGUUUAUUAAAAACAUGGUUUUUUGAAAAUAAUUUAAAAUCUAACCUGCUCAAUGAAUAAAUUUUAAAUAGCUGCAAUUUUGUACUAAGGUAGCAUAAUCAUUUGUCUUUUUAUUAAAGUCUGGAAUGAAGGGUUGAAUAAAAUAUAAACUGUUUCAAUUUAAUAUUUUUUAAAUUUUAUUAUAAGUAAAAAUUCUUAUAUAAUUUUUAAAGACGAGAAGACCCUAUAGAAUUUUAUAAUUUUUUAUUUUAAUAUUUUUUUUUUAAUUUAAUUAAUUAUUUGAUUGGGGAAAUUUAAAAAUUUAAAAAAAUUUUUAAUUUUAAAUUAUAUUUAUUUAUAUAUUUUUAAUCCAUUAUUAAUGAAUUUAAAUUAAAUUACCUUAGGGAUAACAGCGUAAUAAUUUUAGAGAGAUCAUAUUGAUAAAAUUGUUUGCGACCUCGAUGUUGAAUUAAGAAUUAUUUUUAUUGUAGAAAAUAAAAUUUUUAGUCUGUUCGACUAUUAAAUUCUUACAUGAUUUGAGUUUAGAUCGGUGUGAGCCAGAUCGGAUUCUAUCUUAAAAUAUUUAAAAUAAUUUUGUACGAAAGGACUAAUUAUUUAAAAUAAUUUUUUAUUUUUGAAUUAAAUUAAUUAUGAUU